Molecule: long non-coding RNA, 19407 nt
Organism: Pan troglodytes (chimpanzee)
Lineage: Eukaryota; Metazoa; Chordata; Mammalia; Primates; Hominidae
Exons: 5
Source: RefSeq, a predicted model, not a curated record
ACCGGUGGAACCGGUGUGAGGAGAGAGUGGGGCAGGGCCAGGAAGCACCUCUUCCUCUGCUAAUGCACGCAAAGGAAGUCUGGUGCUGCCUUUAAUUUUUCCACUAAGGAACUUGGAGGAGGCAUUGUGUGGUGGCUGGGUCUCUGGCUGCUUUCACCAAGCUUAUUAUCUGUUUUCCUCACCAGCCUUAUCUCCUGCAGGACGCUGUUUUGUUCUUUUUCCAGGGACAUUAAGCGUAAGUGUAAAAGCUGUGGUUCUCUGUGGAAAUGACCACAGAUUAUUUUCCUUGCAAUUUGUAUAGGCCUCCUUUUCCUGACCAGCUAGGGAGGACACUGCACAUUUGAUGGUGACAUUUGACCUUUUUGUUUUAUGUGCCAUGGUGCAUUCUCUCUGGUAGCCUCAGAAGUUACAAGACCUUACCUCACUCUUCAGGAACAAACUACAGCAAUGAUUCAUCUCUCUAUAUUUCCCAGCCUCCUGAUAAACUGCUAAGUGAAGAUGGGGAGGAGCCAUCACGUCGCGUUGAUAGAAUAGACACAGAGGGGACUUGGUGAUGUGUUAGGAGGAGCACUGACCAGAAGUCAGGGUAUCUGGGUUUGAGUUUAACCUCCUUGGUUCUCAGUCCUCUCAUGGAUGAAGUGAGAGUUGGAAUAGAAAGAGGUCACAGCAGGUCCUUCCAGAUUUCAUUCCAUAGUUUCUCUACAUUAGUAAGGGUCUUUCUCUGUCACCCAGGCUGAACUGCAGUGGCAUGAUCACAGCUCACAGCCUCCCAGGCCCGAGCAAUCCUCCUGCCUCAUCCUCCAGAGUAGCUGGGACAACAGGUAUGUGCCACCAUGCCUGGCUAAUUUUUUAUUUCUUUAAAUUUUUGAUAGAGAUCUUGUUAUGUUGCCCAGCCUAGAACUAACAUUUCUGAUGUCCUACUAGAUGUCAAUUCUCAAAAUACUUUGAAGGUAGAUAACAAUAUUAUUCUUUUACCAACAAGGAAAUGAUUCCCCUUCCCUGCUUCUGAAUGAACAUUAUGUUCUCCCUCAAGUGAUUUUGGUGCAGUUGGGCAGGUUUUAAGAUAAGCUGGGCUAAGUGAUUUGCUCCAAGUAUUAACAUUAGUUAAUCAUGAUGCUGAAAUUCAGCCUCAGGCCUGUCUAGCCCGGAGACCUGUGUUCUUUUCACUCUACUAAGCUGAGAAAAGAAAACACAAAGAAAAGCGAGGAAGGGUUUCAUAGUGGAUACCUCUCCAUGCAUUUAAUCAAAAAUAGGCCAAGAAACUCUCUUAAUGAAAUCCACCCUCCAAAAAAAAAAAAGAGAGAAAAGUAGUCUGAGUUAAGUAAAACCAAUUCAGCUCAAGGGAACAGAGUCGAGAUAGUCUCAUAGGCAUUUCCAGGACAGCUGACCUUUUCCAUAAUGAACACUGCUCCCUCCACAAUGAUGCAGCAGUAACUCUCACUGCCUUACUCUUUAGUAGUGAUCUAGAUUUAACAAGAGCGCCUUGCAACUUAUAGUAUAUUCGCAGUCUUUAAAGUACUUUCACAUUCUUGAUUCCUUUUCACCUCUAAUAAUAAUAAUAAUAAUAGUAUUAAUAAUUUAGGAACUGAAACAAAGAUUUUAGAGUCAGACCUCAGUUUAAUCACCACUCUUGCCACUUAGCUCUGCGACCUUAGGCUGGUUAAGAAGAGCCUCAGUCUUCUCUCCUGUAAGAUGGGGAUAAUAAAAAUGCCUACCCCAUAGGGUUGUAAUGAGUAUCCAAAGAGAUAGAACAUGUUAAGUGUUGCCCAGCACAUAGUCGUGUUCAAGAAAUGUUAACCACUAUUAUUUAUAUAUAUAUAAAAAACACAUAUAUGUCAGAAAAAUUAUCUGACAUUUGAAAAUAGGCAGAAAAUAUUACUGAUUAUUGGGUCUUCUUUCAGUGCAGUAUUGAGCUUAAUUUUCUACUGACUUUACACUCCAUAGGUGCAGAGGUUAACUUAAAAAUUUUUGUCUGGUAAAGAUGCAAAUAGUUUCUGUGCAAUACAGCCAAUAAGCACAAAGAUUAGUCUACUGUCCUGUUGGACACCAACCAGUUUUAACUCAUCAAUCUUAUAAUAUUUUUAAAUUAAAUUUUACACACACAUAAUCUCAAAUGCUUUUUGAAUCAGUUUUAACAUCUUAACGUUCACCUCAAUAAAUACAAUCUGUGACAGGUAUUCAUAUUCUAUUUUCCUGAGAGAUAUGAUUUUACCCUUUUGAAAAUUACACUUGAUAACAUGGAACCAACCUAAAUGCCCAUCAGUGAUAGACUGGAUAAAGAAAAUGUGGUACAUAUACACCAUGGAAUACUAUGCAGGCAUAAGAAGGAAUGAGAUCAUGUCCUUUGCAGGGACAUGGAUGAAGCUGGAAGCCAUCAUCCUCAGCAAACUAACACAGGAACAGGAAACGAAACACUAUAUGUUCUCACUCAUAAGUGGGAGUUGAACAUUGAGAACAUAUGGACACAGGGAGGGGAAUAACACACACCAGGGCCUGUUGGGUGGGGGGUGAGGGGAGGGAACUUAGAGGUCCAUAGGUGCAGCAAACCACCAUGGCACACGUAUGCCUACGUAACAAACCUGCAUGUUCUGCACAUGUAUCCCUUUUUUUUUUUUAAAGAAAUAAAGAAAAAAAAUAAAGAAAAGAAAAUUACACUUAACAUUAGACAGCUAAUAUGGGUAGGCCUGCCCCAUUUAGUAGAGGGACUGAAACACAAAGAGAUUUUUGACUUGUCGACAGCUAGAAGCAGAAUUCAGUAAUUUCAAAUUCUACCCCGAUAUCUUUGUUCUAUCUUAUGCCUCUGACCAAACAAUAUCCAAAAAUACAAUAACAACAAUAAAGAAUAUAAUCCUGAAGGAUAUAAGGCAGUACUCUUCUGGCAGGCUUGAACAGUUUCCAGGCUGUCUUCACAGCCAUCAUUCAAAGAGGAAUGUGAGAAACAUCAUUUGAAGCUGAUUUCCAAAUGUUCUGCUUCUCUAAAUGCAUUUUUCAAACCCUUAGAGGAAAAGGGGGCCCUCUUUAAAAACAGCAAUGAUCUAAAAAACGGGUGAGGUAGGGAAUCUGGUAGUUCACUAACCUGGUUAAUAGGAAAUCAAAACUAUUCUAUGUAAAAUCAAUUAAAUCCAUUAAUACAUUGAUUAGGUAGAUGGAAACUGAGUUACAUCUACCUUAGAAUUUAAGCAGACCAGGGUCUCUAAAAACUUGAUAUUCUCUUUUCUUGGCAUGAGAGGAAAGUAAGGUUUCAGAAUUGAAAGAGUAAUUAAGAGGGAGCCCUGUGUCCAGGGACUGAACUCACUGUUAUGCUCUGGAUGGGACAUAUGCUCAGAGCCCAGUGGCCCAAGCUGUUGUAGAAGACGGCAGAAGCAGCCAGGAGAGCUCUGAGCCCACCACGCGCAUGGAGGAUGGAACCGGGGUUAGUUUAAAGUAAGCAGUGCCCGAAUCAUGUGACAGGAGCCACCUUUACACUUAUAAUCACUGCAGGCUUAGGAAAAUCAUAACAUAAAUGAAAGGUUUUUUGUAUUGAAAAAGUUCCACCCACAUUGUGCCUUGGCCCCUCAUUUUAAAAAUACUUUCAUCUCUAAAUUCCCCGGGUUUCCUCUGGCGUCUCCAGCUGCUCCUCUGCUGAUUGCUCGUCCACGAUUCCUCAAUGUCUGAGUGUCUGAUUCAGACAUUUCUUGGCCCUGUCUUUUUCCCUACUAUCUGGUUUAAAUGUCAUCCAUAUGCUGAUGUUUCCUAAAUUUUAUCUGCAGCCUCAACCUCUUGCCUGAACUCAGAACUAAUAUAUCCAGUUGCAUAUGUAAAAUCUUCUCUUGAAUGUCAAAGAUCAACUUAAACUUAAUAUGUUCAAAACAGAAUUUGUGAUUUUGUUCCCUCCCUCCACACUCUUAUCCCUGCAAAGGCCAAGUUCUACCUUAGGGCCUUUGCACAGUCUCUGGGCCUGGAACACUCUUCCACCAGUCAUUUCAUGGACAGCUCCCCUUGGUCAUUCAGAUCUCAGUUCAAACAUCACUUCCUCCUUAGCUGUCCCUGGCCCCCAUCGGAAGUGGCCCAUUCCUUUCCCACGGCCACCACCAGUUAUUCUGGUAAUUAUGCACAUAAACUGGAAAUUUCUCCAUAACCUCAUAUUUAUCACAAUAUGGAAUUCUGUGGAUUAGGUGUUUACUUAUUUAUUGUUAAUCUCCCUGCCCUUCCCCCACAGCUCUACCCCCCAAUGCAUAGAAAAUGAGCCUCGAGGGAACUGGGACUCAUCUGUCUUAGUCAUUGCUGUUUCUCCAACACACAGGCACUCAGCAGAUUUUUACUGAGUGCAUAUUUGCAUAUGUGAAUGCAUCUCUGGGGGUCUGUUUUCCUACAAAACCUGAGGGUAAUUAUCACAGAAAGCAUGCAUGGUAACUGGGAAGGAUGAACAUACUAAUUCCAGCAUGACCUUGAAUUUUUAAAUUGAUUUGGAGAAUAGUAAAUGCCAUUGGGAUGCCAAAGAGAGCAAGAGAUGUUGGUGCAGGGGAAGGGUGUUGUAAACAAAGAGAGGAAUGCAAACAAUAAUCCCUAAAUGUCCAGAAAAAUUUUGGGAGACUGAUGAGGAAGAAUCAUUUUAUGUUUAUUUUGCCAAGGAAGGAUAUUAUGGAGAAAUUUUAUCAUCUACUGUCACAUCACCAUCAUGUCAUAAAAUAAAGGACAUUUAACUUCCAAAAAGUAGAAAAGAUAUGAACUUCGUUUUUCAAAAAAAUUGAAUAAACUGUGCUUUAGGAAAACUCCCUAUAUUGACUUAUUUCUCUCAUUGCAGCACAGUCCUUUGGAAACAUUGUCCUAACACUGUCAGGAACCACUGACUUAAGUGACUGACUCUAGUCGAGGAGCAAUCACUGGCAACUUUCCUAAGUCUUUGCUUCUCAAUAUGUCUAUGGACAAUUAAAGCUCUCUGAUAAAUAUUCACUACUAGGGUAUUGUAACGUUUAGACGACCUCAGAAACCUGGCAUUGAGAUGUUACUUAGAAUUUUCUCCCUAUCUCAACCAAGUAUAAGGCCAGGCCUACAAAUAAAAAGGUGUUUUAAGUGAAUAAAUGUGUUUGUGUGUGUGUGUGUGUGUGUGUGUGUGUGUGAAGUGUAUGUGUAUGAUGCCUUAAGGAAGAAACUGACACAUCAACAGAGUUUUAAAAUGUUUAAAAGACCAGUAGUACCAACUGAAACUAAUGGCCAAGACAUCUAGUAUCAUGGUUACGUUACAUAGAACACAAUGUAGAAUUUCCUUUCAUUUUACUGUAAAUUGCUUUAAAAAUACGUAUUUUUUAAAGUGUAAGAUAAAAAUGUAUCCGGAACUUAUUCCUUCUGGUGGGUUCUUGGUCUCGCUGACUUCAAGAAUGAAGCCGCAGAGUCUUGCGGUGAGUGUUACAGCUGUUAAAGAUGGUGCGUCCGGAGUUUGUUGCUUCAGAUCUGUCCAGAGAUUCUUCCUUCCUGUGGGUUCGCUGUGUGGGUGACUUCAGGAGUGAAGCCUCAGACCUUACCAGUGAGUGUUACAGUUCUUAAAGGUGGCGAGUCUGGAGUUGCUUAUUCCUUCCAGUGGGUUCGUGGUCUCACUGACUUCAGUAAAGAAGCCACAGACCCUCGCGGUGAGUGUUACAGCUCAUAAAAGUAGCGUAGACCCAAAGAGUGAGCAGCAGCAAGAUUUACUGUGAAGAAGGAAAGAACAGGAGGUUGCUGCUGCUGGCUAGGGUGGCCAGCUUUUAUUGCCUUAUUUGGCCCCGCCCACAUCCUGCUGAUUGCUGCAUUUUACAGAGGGCUGAUUGGUCCAUUUUACAGAGCACUGAUUGGUGCAUUUUUACAGAGUGCUGAUUGGUGCAUUUACAAUCCUCUAGCUAGACUCAGAGUGCUGAUUGGUGCGAUUUUAUAGAGUGCUGAUUGGUGCAUUUACAAUCCUUUAGCUCGACACAGAAGUUGUUCAAGUCCCCAACAGACCCAGAAGCCCAGCUGGCUUCACCUCUCAAAAAGAUACAAAUGACAGAGACAAUUGAAAAAAAAUGUUUAAUCUACUGGGGAAACUAAGAAACAAAACCAAAGGAGGCAGAUGAUAUCAAGCAUUAUUCAAAUUUACUGCUGAACCAAUGUAUUCAGGAAUAACACCCACAUGAAAGGAGAAUAUAUAUUGAAAAUGGAAAUGUGAAUAAUUUCCUUAGAUGACUGACUUCAUUUGCAAAGAGGAAAAUCUGCUCCCAGAGAAUAUGCAAAAUGCAAGCAACAGUGAUGGUAAACAAAGUUUUAAAGGGAGAAGUUGAUGAAGAUUCUGGGCCAUAGGGGCAUUCACCAGACAGCAUCUAAAAGAAGUAGAGGUGGCUGGGACCUGUGUCACAGCCCAUUAGAUGCCAUUUUAAGAGAUUAAUAAUUCAGGGCCUGGGUAGCACGGGGUGACUGCAGUCAUACAUAUAAGCAAAUAACAAUGAGGACUAAGUGUUUGGUCUUUCCAUUGACUUAUUGGUUCCUGGAUGGCAGUAAACAGGGUCUUCAGUGUCUGGCUCACUAGAUAAACAAGAGUAAUAAGAGGAAUCAUACUGGUCCCAAUUUGGAACUCCAGCUCUGCAGAGGGCAUCCACACCCACCUCAAGUCAAAAAGUAAGAAAACUCAAUUAGCAGCUGUUCUCCCUCCGCCCCCUUCUGAGGAGGGAAGGGAGUGGAGUUUUCUCCCACACACUUUCUAAGCCAUGGGGGAGUCUCCCGAGCUUCUGAACAGCAGUCAGGAAACAAGGCUGUUCAGGAAGCUGGUACUGUGAACCACAAGUCCUCUGAAGAGCUUCAGUGGAAAAUAAUACUAGUGGAUAGAUUUAAAUUCCUCAUACAACCAAAGUUGUUCUUUGUACUUCUAAUAGAUGUUAUAAUUUUUUACAUAAAUACUGUACAAUGUCUGUGAGUUAAAAUCAGAUUCAAAACCUAAUCUUCUGAUGCAAUAAGCAGUCAAAUCUUUUCCUGGUUCUCAGGACAAGCGAAGGAAGUCAGUAUGAAACUUCCCUUACCAGAGAAUGUCUGCUCAACAUGUUCUUCCUGGAAACACCUUGAAAAUAAAAUGGCUCCCAGACCCUCCAGUUUCCCUUGGUCGGGGAAGUCAGAGCCGAUCAUGGGCUUAAAUCUUGUGUGUUAUUGGGGAUAUAUCACCUAGCUGAAGAAAAUAGACCUAAUGACCCUGAUUUGUCUGAAUUUUCAUAAAGAGAUUGCAAAGACUCCAGACAUUUUUGCCUCAAGACUCAGCUGAACUCAUAUUAGUCUUGCAUUUAUAAGGAGAGCCUCUGCCAAGAGGUAAGGAUAGCAGGAGAGAGGAGUUGGGAGACCUGGAUUCAGUCAUGCCUAUACCAGGAGGCAGCCGCGUGUUGACUGUGAUCAUGCCAUGUCACUUAACUUCUCUGAACUUUAAUUUUCUUAGCUGGAUAAUUAGAAUAUAUAUGAUCUUUAUAGUCUUCUAUAGAUCCAAAAAAGUAUGAUUUGAUGUGUAUAACUAAGUCUGGGUGGCUGGACAGAAAGUUUGAAUAGGUCAAUUGCCCAACAAGACUGGUUAUAUCAUUCAGUUGUUGAAAUGACCAAUAUAACCAGGUUUUUUUUAAAAAAAAAAAACAAAAAACAAACCCUGGCUAGCUAUUUUCAGCAACCUUAACUACUUACUGGCUUGACUAUGAAGCAGUCCUUUUGAUUGCUUAAAAUUAAAAAUAGUUAAAAUAGCUUUUAAAAAUAAGAAUAACCACCCUUUGAUCAAUUGAACAUUUCAACAACUGAUCAAUUGAUCUCUGUCACCUAAUCUGGUCUUAUUUAUGAGUGUCUUGAGACACGUAUCCCACAGGGUUACUCUACAAACUCUCCUCCCUUAGUGUCUACAGCACAACUUUUUGCUGCCUCCUGGAUAGUUUUUGUUGUUCUAUUUACAACUCCUCUUUCUCUGUCCAUUCCCUAAAUAUUUGUUCCUUGGCGUUCCCUCUAAGAUGUUUUCCUCUCUUGCUGUAUCUGCCCUCCUCGGAUGAUUUCACCCUCACCUACAAUGGUGUGCUGGCAAAUGUUUAACAAGCAGCGCUUCCAGGGUGAAGAAAAGCCCUGACUCGUAGUGUUUGCUGAUUUCUGUGGUGUAAAUACUCUCACUAUGGCCAAUAUCAGGCUCCCAGACAUUAUGGAUUUGGGAAGAGAGGCAUAUAACUGACGCUUAACAGCUGAAUGAACUAGCUCUAGCACACCACUGCAUCCCUGACUUCCAAGACCACCCACAUGCUGAUCCACCGACCUUUCUCUCUCUCUCUCCCUCACUGCAGACUCAUAUCCACUUGAAUGUCACACUUCCACAACAUCAUCAAGGGUAAAAUGGACACACGAUCUUCCUGUAAACUUUUCCCUGCAUUCCCUGUUUACCAAGGUAACUGUGGACAAGAGUGAGUGACCCAGCUUUUGGAAAAUUUUGACUUCGUUUGAGCUAUCUUAGACUAUUUUGUGAUUGCAUCUUUUGAGCGAUGGAACAAGACUACCUGCUGGUAAAUAGGAAUGGAGUUUUUUUCUGCAGAGAAAUAGAUGUUUCUGCUGUCAAUCAUCCUGUGAAGUGGUUUCUCUGGGACAAGGAAUGGGAGGUGAGAAGCGAUUUGAACUGGAGGAGAGAAAGAUCUAGGGCCUAAGACCAGCUGAGUCUGAGUGACAUGGAGAAGGCUAGAGUCAUUCUACUGGCAGAGUAGCUACUGCUGUCCCAUGAACGCAGUGAACAGUAAUAGCAGGUAUCUAAUCGAGCAGCAACAUGGAGGCUAAAAAGUCAAGGCAAAAAAAGGGGCCAAUUUCUAGAGAUGCCAAACUGAGACAGCACUUGUGGACCUGGUCAGUUUUUAGAGGGCACAUCCUAUUUCCAAGACUGGAGUGGUGAUCCACAGGUGGUGGUUACCCUCAACCAGCUGAUCCUGCAGGGUAAGAAUCUCAGAAGUGUUUCAAUAUCAGCAGCAGCAACAGCAGCACCAGCAGCAGCAAGAUGAGAAGGCUAGAGAAGAAUAACCCAGUGGAACUUGUCUGCAGCUCAAAUGAGAGGCAUUCUAAGACACUCUCAGAAAUAACUGAUGGGACAGUGACAGUAGCUGAUUUCUAGUAGUGCAGGCUCUACAGUAUAAUAAUUUAGGUGUACCAAGGAAGAAUAUGUUAUAGUCACAGGCUAGAGGGCCAGAGUAUUCCCUUGCAUUACAUUUAUUUCCAUCUAUAUUAGGUCAUCUACCCAGAUGCCUAAACCCCAAAACUAAGAGUCAUUUUGUCUUCUCUGAUGUACCACAUACAAUCAGUCACAAAGGCCUGCCAGUUCUAUCUCCUAACUUUUUCUUGAAUCCAUCAGAAUGUAGGCAUGAAGAGAAAAGAUGCUCUCAUACUUACAGUCAUCCUCUCAGUUCAAGCCCUUGUCUUUUCUCACUUGGAUUUCUCUGAGAGCUUCCCAACUAGUCUCCCUGACUUCCAUCUUGCUCCCUCCAAUCAGUCCAUCAACUGCAUUGCUGCAGAGGAAUCUUCCAACAAAAACCUGUUCAAGUUACUCCUUUGUUAAAGUCCUUCAGGAUAAAACCCAGACUCUUGGGGUGGCCUAUUAGGUCCUUCAUGGUCUGCCUAUCACCUUCCUUUCUAGGCUUAUCCCACACUCCCCUCCUGUGUCCAGUGCAUAGAGUCCUCUAGAUAGGGGAGGAUGCAUUGACCAUUUUUCCUACCUUCUUUCCCAUCCUCAUGACGUGGUUUUAAAUGCUCAUGUCUUUCUCCCAUUAUACACUGUCUUCUGGUUUUCCUCUGACAUCUCUGGUUGUUCCUUCUCAUCAUCUUCUUCCUCUGCUCAUACUUUAAGUGUUGAUUUUCCCCAGAGUUCUCUUCUCAGCCCUCUCUUCUGUCUUCCUGGAAAAGGUCAGUCGUUCCUGGGGCUUCUGUUUCUAACUCAUGCUGAGUUUUCUUAAAUCUUUGCCUCUAGAUCAGACUGCUCUUCUCAACACCUCCACAGAAUGCUCUUAGCUAUCUUAAACUCCAUAUGUCUGAAGUUUAUUAAACUCCUACCUCCAGAUGCAUUCUCCCUCCUAUAUCCUCUAUCUCAGUUUAUGUCUCUGUUUGAAAGUUGAAGCAAGUACCUAUUGCUGCCUGACAAACCUCCCCUAAUCAGUAGCUUAAUACAACAGACAUUUAUUAUUGCUCACAAGCCUAUGCGUCAAUGGGGCAUUCCUGCUGACCGGAGCCAGAUUCAGCUGAUCUUGACUGGGCUUUCUCACAUAUCUGGAACCUCUGCUGGGACAACUGGGAUGACUUGGUCCAUAUGGUCUCUUAUCCUCCAACAGGCUAGCCUAGGUUUAUUCACAUGGCAGAUGGACAGAGUUCCAAGAGAGAAAGUGGAACCCAUUCAAGGCCUCUUGGGGCAGAGGAUCCUAAUUAAAAUACCAUAUCAUUUCCACUGCAUCCUCUUGGCCAGAAGUCACAAAGCCAGCCCAGGUUCAAGGGAUGGAGAAAUAUACACCACCUCUUAAUGGAAGUAGAUGCAAAGUCACAUUUUAAGGAGUGUGGACAGAGAGAGGGGCGGAGAAAUGUGAUCCUUUUUGCAAUCUGCCAGAGAAGUAAUCCUAGAUAUCUCCACAAUGAUAAUGUGGUGGUGAUGGUGGUGAUGGUGAUGGUGGCAGCUAAUGUUUACCAAGUACCUAGCACAUAUCCUGCACUGAAUAAUGUCAAGGGAAAGGUAGAUUCUGCAUUGUGUUUACAGUUAUGUAUGAAAAUCACUUUUUAUUUUCUUUAUAUUGGUUUCUGUUGAGGCCUCUCUUUUGGCUUACAGACAGCUAUCUUAUUACUCUGUCCUCAUGUGGCCCUUCCUCUGUAUGUGUGCAAAAAAAGAGUGAUCUCUGGUGUCUCUUCCUCUUCUUACAAGAACACCAGUCCUAAUGGAUAAGAGCUCCACCCUUAUGACCUCAUUAACCUUAAUUGCCUCUUUAAAGGCCCUCUCUCCAAAUACAGUCACUUUUGGGAUUAGGUCUUCAUGACUGGGGCAUGGGGUGGGGAUACACACAAUUCAGUCCGUAACAACUACACAAACACUAGAAUGGCUAAAAUGAAUUUAAAAACAAACAUCAUAUGUUGGAAACUGGAACAACUGGAAUUCUCAUACACUGAUGUUGGGACUUUAGUCCAAUCACUUUGUAAAAACUGUUGAGCUGAAUCCAAUAAGGCUGAAUAUAUGCCUAGCCUUUGAGAUUCUACUCGUAGAUAUUUUAUCCAAAGGAAAUGCAAACGUAUACACACCAAAAGACAUACACAAGAAUAUUCACCACAGCACGAUUCAUAAUAGCCUUAAAUAGGAGAGAAUUCAAAUGUUGAUACAUAAUGGGAGGAAUAAAUAACUUACAGAUAUCCAUACAACAGGAUAUCAUACAACCAUGAGACUGAACACACUAUGGUUAAAGCUCACAAACAUCAUGCUGACUGACAGAAGCCAGACACAAAAGAGUACACACUUUAAACUUUCACUUAAAUAAUAUUCAAUAACAGGCAAAACAAAUCCAUGGUGUUAGAAAUCAGGCCAGUGGUCAGCCUUGGAGAGGGAAGUGGUGGCUGGAAGGAAACAACAGGGGGCUUCCAGGAUGCUGGGUGUGUUAUGAUCUGGCUUCUGGCUACACAGCUAUGUUCAGCUCAUGAAAAUUUAUCAAGCUGAAUACUUAUAUGUGCAUGUUUCUGCAUAUAUUUUACACUUCAAUAAAAAGUUUCCUUUAAAAAUUUUUCUGAAAACUCCAUAUCAUCCUAGAAUAAAGUCCCAAAACUUCAGCAAGGCCUGAGGCUUUAUGACCUGGCCCCAGGCCGACAUUUCCAGUCCCAUCCCUACUACUCCUGGCCUAACCUACAGCCAAAACAAGUCAUCACCCAUAUCCACAGUCCAUCGUGCUCUUUCAUGCUUUCCACUUCAUUUGCUUGGUUAACUCUGUUUUCAGCUUUAAAAGUCAACUCAGGCUUUAUUCUCCAUCAGGAAGUUUUCCCUCACCCCACCCAACCCGGGCUGAGUUACAAGUCCCUCCUAUGUCCUCCCUUAACAUUUUAUGUGUACUUAUUACCCUUAGUACAUUGCACUAUCAUUUUUGGUUUAUGAAUCCAUCUUUGCUGCUGGACUGUGAGUGUGAUGAGGGCAAGAACUGUGUCCUUUGUCUCUGUAUAUGCAGCAUCUAGUGCAGUGCCUAGGACACAGCAAAUGCACAAUGAACAACAGAUGAAUGAAUAAGCGGAUUAAUGGACUUUAGUUUACAGUCUUGAUUUUGGUACACAAAAUUCUUCUUUAGUCAUUCUAGCAAGAAAAAGUGGUUUUUUUUACAUUGAAACUUCAUCUGGCAGCACAGACUACACCAUGCCCAAAAUUUAGUUUGCAAUGAGUGCUUUGUUCUUCAUGAACAUUAAUAUCAGAGAAACCAAAUGCACAUUUCUUAAAAUAAGUAAUAGCAAUAUUGCCCAUUCCCUAAAGACUGUCCGACUGUACAAAAUAAUUGCAUUCCUCUGGAACACGGGUGAAGCGUUAAUGUUCUUGGUUGGCUGGAGAAUCAACAAAUUCCUCUAACAUCUAGAUUGGCGAUGUUUCUUGGUGUAUCUGCCAGAAAUUCCUCAGAUAUCCUCGUCUGAGAUUUAUGGACUGAGAGGUUUAUGAUAUUUCAGAGGGUAGAAUCGGCUAUUGUUUUACAUAUUAGCCAAGUCAAGUAAAUGCAGUGAAAGCUGUGAUUGGUCUCUGGGCCUAAAAAGUGAAAUAGGCUGACAACAGCCAUAUUCCAUGCAAGAUCCAAACAGGCUUCAGCCAGGCAAAAUGCAAAGUGGUGAUCACAACUACUUCUCAGCAAUGUUUAUUCUUACUUCUGAUUUUGGGCUUUCAGUACGGCUCCAUAACAGAAAGCCAAAAAGGUUUUAAUGGUAGGAGGUAGGAUGAUAAAGCUAUUGCCACGAUGAUGAUUCUUGGUAAAUAAGGGUGCACUAUGUGCCACAGAACAAGCACAGAUAUGAAACUUGACCUCAGAGUGCUUAUCAACCAAAAAGUUAGGGCAAAGGUAAAACAGUAGCGCUAUAACUUUUAAACAUAUGUAUAAUCUGAGUAUUGAACUGGGUAUACUAGGCCCACCUUCAGAGCCUUUGCUCACUCCCACCUCGCUGAGGACACUUCUCACUCACUCUACCCCAAGAACAGGCCGUGCAGGCUUAUUUGUAAGGGCCCUGACUCCACCCAGCCUCUUGAUCCACAGCUGAUUGGACCAGACAGGGCACAUGACUCAAGCUAAGCCAAUCAGAUUCUCUCCGUUUGGAAUUGAGCCGCACAUGGUCCUAAGAAGAGAACCUGCGGGGCUAUCUGGGCAGCCAUUUGGGGUGAAAGAGUGAAGCAGAGUAAAGUGGUCAGCAGGGAGAAAGUAGAGGCACAGGAAACCACCGUGGUGUAAUAGCAGGGUGGCAGGAAGAGAGAUCAGUUCCUGACAGCUUUCCUGUUUCUGAUUCCAGUCCCUUUGGGGACAUCUGAUACGUUCUCUGGCCAACUCUGGCCUCCUUUUUAUGUUUAUGCUGGUGUGGGUGGUUUUCCGAGGUCCCAGGCCUAAGACACACAUGUUCUGGUGUUCAGGCAGGAGGACUGUCUUCAAUUCUUGGUGUCAUGUUGGCGGAGGGGAGGGCUAGACUACGGGAGGCCUUGCACUGCAGCAACUGGCAUCCACGGCCAGGGGCUGGCUGGAGUUUUAGCUCUAACGCUGGGGGUUUGGGAGCUGUUGGUUAGUGGGGGUGUUAAUUUGGUUCUUUAAAAAAGGAAGCAUGACACUGUGAGUGAUGACAUUUGAACGUCAACAAUACAACAUUAAGCCUGUGGAAAGUUUUAAUUAUGAUAGCUUACACAGGAAAUUGCAUUUAUCUAUGGAAACUAAAUUUAGAAGCCUGGACAGAUUGACAGGAUCCCCCUUAAGUCCAUGUAAAUAGCCCUUGCCGGGUGCUAGGAAGUAACAGCAGUAGCAGGGGCUGGCUAGUCAGGGCGCUCUUCAAAAGUCCUAUCUUCCAGGUUAGGGGAGAAUGAACAAUUUCUGAAAGAACCCCAUUUUCAAGGCUGUUCCUAUUAUCUCCCUGCUUUGUGUCCAUAAACAAGGAAAGGGUGCGGUCAUGACUUGGAUUUGUUCUGAGCAGUGUUUGUGUAUCCAAGGCCAGAGGCAGGACCCAGUGGGAAAGGGAAGUGUGGGAAUGAGUGAGAGGAAAUAUCUUGGGCUCCUUUGCCUCCUCACCCUCCAAUCAUUCCCCCACAAGGGAACCCCCUUAGGGUUCCCUCCUUCCCACGGUGUUCCCUCUACCCACUUCAAAUCUCAGUGACAUGAAAACUGGGGGCAUCAGAGGCAAGGGAGUGACAGGAACAGUGGUUUUGUAUAGCAAGAACAUUGGAGUUGGCCAGAGGUGGGUAAAGCCGUGGCACUAUCACCAGCACCACUCUCUGACCCAGACAAGAGGGUCCUCUGCCCUGGGCUAUGACCUCUAAAGGGCCCUUGCCCUCCUCAAGGCUCACUCCACCUCGUGAAGUGAAGAGUUCACCAGAGCCCAUAUAUACCCCUCAAGACCGUGUUCCAGGUCCUGAGACUCCAGAAUUCCCUGUACAAGCGGCCCUGCGCCUGUUUCCAGGGCCUGUAAGAGCCUCUUCCAGGGUCUGUCCUCUCAAGGAUGUGUAUGCCCUAGAGUUCAGGGUGCCCUAGGGAUAACUGUUUGCAGACAGGAUGAAGAAUGGGUGGACGGCACACACUGGAGUAUCUGUAUUUGAAUUUCAAAGGUGGGAAGAGAAGGGCACCAGGCCAGGGGCUACGGUCUGAUUCUCCAUGGUAUACUGCCUCUUUCUGGCUCAGACCAAGGAGUCUGAACAUUCUAAAUUUGAAUCUGGGCUUCCUGGUUGUUAUGAAGGUUUAUUUGUCAAAGUAGGAGGAGAGAACAUGUCUAACUGUUAGCCUGAUAUAUUAGUUUUGCAUAUUUAUUCAAAUGGAAUAUGAACAAAUAUUCCAUUUAUUCAUGGAAUAUUUGGGGAGCUUGGAGCAAGAGUACAAAUAGGCUUUAACAUUUGGGGAGCUUGGGGCAAGAGUACAAAUAGAGGCUAUUUGUAGCCCCAAGCUCCCCAAAUGGUAGAGGCCGGCCAUGCCAUCACUUCAACAGUUUGACUUUAGUUAAGUACUUUAGGCCUCUGAUACUCGGUUUCCUCAUCUGCAAAAUAAGGACACUAACAGUAAUAGUUAUUGUGAGAAAUUAAAGUGUAAUAAGUUGUAAUUAUUGUUGUGUGCCCUUGGGUAAGUUACUUAAUCUCCCUAGUGCCUCAGUUUUCUCAUCCGUCAAAUGGAAGGGUAGUAGUAUACCUGUCUCUAAGGAUUGUUAUCAAUUAAUGUAUGUAAGAGCCUUUGAACAGUGUCUGGCACAUAGUAAAUGCUAUGGAAAUGUUCCUUGUUGUUGUUAUUGUCCGAUAUCUAUGGACGCUACUACCACCUGGCUGACUGGACUAAAGGAAACAGCAUAUGUAGCAUGUAGGUCACAGCGAGGCACACCUCUGCCACAUUUCUGAGCUUAUUUGAGAUUUGUCUCAUACUCCAGACUCAUCCUGUGAUUACCAAACCCGUACCAGACUUCUUAGGAAGGAUAGAGUCUGUUCCUGCUUCCAACUGUGACUGUGUCUUUAGCCAAGUGUAAUCUGAUGAAUACAAACUAAGAGUUCUGUCCUGGGUUAACCCUCAUUCUUUUCUGUAAAAGGCUUUCAGAUCCACUCAGAAAGGUGCAAAACAAAUCUUACAUCUCUGGGCAGAGACAUGGUGGUGGCAGAGAGCAAGGAAUGGGGGAGGGAUGUUGGCCCAUCUCAUGAGAGCCACUGAUUGCCACUCCUCACUGUGGAAGAGCUUCUGCAGCCCUGCGCAUUGGCAGGCUCUCAGGGCUGGGUUGGGUUUAGGAAUUAACUUGAAGUGUUAAUUUUGUAAAUAUCUAGACAGGGUUGAUCCUCCACAAGAGGAGAGUUGAUCACACAGAAAGACCUAAAAGCCUUAGAGAGCUACAAAAGUGUUUCCCAACUGCAAGCCCCAUUUAUUUCUACUACACGACACGACCUCUGUGGAUCAGCAGCUGUUUCCUUUGCUCAGCAACUGAACAGCCCAUUCCCUGUUUGUUUCAACUUUGCAGGGGAUCACCAAUGGGGAGCUGAGGUACUAAAGCUCUCCAUGGGAAUGAAAGUUAAGAAGGGCACCAGGGAGGCCAUUGGCACACAGGUCUCCGUCUGUAACCCGGGCUGGAGUGCAGUGGCGCGAACACGGCUCACUGCAGACUCGACCUCCUGGGAUGGGAUCUCAUCAUGUUGCCCAGCCUGGUCUCCAAUUCCUGGACUCCUCCCACUUUGGCCUCCCAAAGUGCUGGGAUUAUAGAUAGCAGUCAAUAGUAUUGAACAAGAAAAAGCUGCAUGACUUUUAGACCAGAGGAGUGAGGACAGCACUUAGAGGAGGCACACAGCCAACACGUCCAGUUAACCAGGAUAAAUGAUUUAAAAGAACUUUGUAAAAAUGCUGAACAUAAUUUGCUAUCACCAAAUAUAGGAAUCUCUGAAGCCAGCUGUCUUGCUCAUAUGAAAUGCAAUGACAAGAUCCAAAUUGUGAGAAAAGGAAUCCAACUUGGUUGGAACAGGAAAGAAACAAAAACAAAGAACCUCUGGCCCAGAGUCAUUUCUGUUUGGAAAAAUUUCUGAAGAUUAAACUUAGGCCCUGAGUGCACCUAACAGUGCAAUCUGCAGGCUGCCAACGCGUAGCCGUGGAACUAAAUCCAGCAGCUCAAGGUGAGAGAAAAUUAAGUGGAUAGAGUCUACCUCCUUAAGAUACUCUUCUUAUCAGAGCUUCCUGAGACCUUCCAGAGUGAUGAGUUCCAAAUUACGUACAGCCAUAGGAAAAUAAAUAUUUGGCCAGCUGUAGACAUUGGAUUUACUUAUCUGUAGCCUAUUUCUAGCUUCAGAACAAUUUCUACUUCUACCUUAUAAUCCACCACAGCCCAGGAGUUUAAGGAUCUUUUAUUAAAGUAUCUUCACGUAGUUUAUUUUUUGAAACAAAAAUUACCACUAAGAAAAUAUUUUUUAAAAAUACUCUCCAAUUAUACAUAGUGUACAUGUGUAUGUGUAUAAAUACAUAACAUAUAUUUUACUUUCACACAGAGGUUAAAAUCAAGUCAGUGCCCUGGUCUACUCCCUAUGUGGAAAGUUCAGAGGGAAGGGUCUGAACAUGGCUUUUUCCUAAGUUUGUUAUAUUCCUUGGAACAUGUUUCACAGGAUGUUACUUAGGGCUCCAAUUUACUGGACAAAACAAUCAUUACACAUACAGAAAAGAAAUUACUAAUUUCUUUAAUAUAAAAAUGUAUCUUACAAAUCAAUAAGAAAAGAUAACUCUAUAGGAAAAUAAGCAAAGGAAAUAUCCAGGCAGUUCAGGAAGAGGAACAAAAAGCAGGAAAUCAACAGGUGAAAACAUACUCCACCUUGCUUGUAGUUUAAAAAUUCAAAUUCAAAUGAUGAUGAGACAGAAAUUUUCACUUCCAGUUGGUACAGAUUUUUUCUUUUUUUUUUAAGACAGAGUCUCCCUCAGUCACCCAGGCUGGAGCGCAGCAGCCUAGGAUCUUGGCUUACUGCAACCUCCAUCUCCCAGGUUCAAGCAAUUCUCCUGCCUCAGCCUCCUGAGUAGCUGCGACUAUAGGCACCCCCCACCAUGCCCAGCUAAUUUUUGUAUAUUUUCAGUAGCGAUGGGGUUUCACCAUGUUGGCCAGGGUGGUCUCGAGCUCCUGACUUCAGGUGAUCCAUCCACCUGGGCGUCCCAAAGUGCUGGGAUUACCAGUGUGAGCCACCGCACUCAGCCAGAUUUUUAAAAGAGGUAAAACCAGGAUAAGAUAUGAGAAAACAGUCGUUUCAUACAUUGUUCAUAAGUGUAUAAAUUGAUAUAAUGUUUUGUGUUGGCAAUGUUGCAAUACUUAUUAAAAUUGAACCCCACAUUUUACUUCUACUAUAGAAGUAAUUAUAGUAGUAACCUAUAGAAAACAUUCCCCUAAGUACACAGAGACAAAUGUACAUGAAUGAUGUACAUAGUUCCUAACAGCUAAACACUGGAAAUAAACCUAUGAAAAGAAUUUGGUAGAUCUAUAUGUACUUACACAGAAAGGGUUCCAAGAUACAGCAACAUGUAAAAAGAGCAAGUUAUAAAAAUGAUUUAGAAAAUGAUUCAAUUUUUGUUAUAUGCAGAGGAAAAAAAAUCUAGUGUCAUAUAGACUAAAAUAUAAAUACUAGCUAUUUCUGGGGGUUGGCAUUUUGGAGUACCUUCCAUUUCUAUCUCAUGUUAUUUCUGUAAUAUUUGAUCAUAUACUAAGGGUAAAAUAAAAACAAUUUAAAAAAUAACAGUAUGAACAUCACUUACGUAGCUUUCUUGCCAACCCCCAGAAAUAGCUAGAUUAGAUUCAGGAUCAUGUUAAAUCUGAAGCUAAACAUGAGGAAACAACAAUCAGAUAAAUCCAGAUUGUGUGAGAUGCUGCAAGAUAACUAACCUGGACUCCUAAAAUGUGUCAAUGUCAUGAAAAAUGAAAAGAGUCAUGGAGACUGUUCUAGAUUACAAACAACUAAAGAGACCUGACAAUGAAACACAAUAUGUGAUAUCUGACUGGAUUCUAAAUUUAGACACACAUGAAAAAACAUUAUAAAGGACCUUCAUGGAACACAACUGCAUGGGUGACUCUACAUGACAGAAUAGUAUUUCUAGGAUCAUAUUUUGGGAAAUGCUGGGAUAGAAAAUGUCCCUUUAACUGAAGCUUAUUGUGACCCUUCAUGCUAGAUGUUCCUAUUUUUUUUUUCUUAUUUAAUCCUGGUAAUUUACAGAAGAAGAUGAUGAUUUUCUAUCAAACUUACACUCUAAUUAUUACUCUGAUUGUUGAGAGAUGCCAAUAUAUUCAUUUCUAGAAUAUCUUACCUGGUUUAUAGAUUUUUCAAUUAGUGCUUAGAUACCAACUGUAAUUUAUUAUCAAGUUGGGGAAUUUCUGAGCUGUAGGGGAUCUUAGAGGAAUUGUGGGAUCAACCCUUAUCAUUUUACAGAUGAGCAAAGGAACUCCGAUGGGCUAUGUGACUUACACAUAUUUAAUUAGGAGAACCGGCUUUGGAAACCUAGCCUCCAAAUUCAGUACUCUUACCAUAAAACUAUUAUGAUUUACUUACCCUUGCUGAAUGCCAGCAGUGGACAAGGCAUCAUAACGGCCUGCCCUAAGACACCCUUCUGCCGGAAAGAGGCUCAACACUUGAGGAGGAAUUGCAUGACAAUCUUCAGGGAGCAAGAGUAUCCAACUCCCCGCACUUCUAAUCAUGCAGGCAGUCUGCCGAGUCCACGUUGCACCAAGGCAUGCCCUUUGCCUGACUUGUUUGUUACAUAAGAAAGCACUAGGAGUUCGAGC